GUGGGGAAUAUUGGACAAUGGGCGCAAGCCUGAUCCAGCAAUGCCGCGUGUGUGAAGAAGGCCUGCGGGUUGUAAAGCACUUUCAGUGGGGAGGAAGGCCUCGAUGUUAAUAGUAUCGAGGAUUGACGUUACCUACAGAAGAAGCACCGGCUAACUCUGUGCCAGCAGCCGCGGUAAUACAGAGGGUGCGAGCGUUAAUCGGAAUUACUGGGCGUAAAGGGCGCGUAGGUGGUUACUUAAGUUAGAUGUGAAAUCCCUGGGCUUAACCUAGGAAUUGCGUUUAAUACUGAGUAGCUAGAGUAUGGUAGAGGUAAGUGGAAUUUCCAGUGUAGCGGUGAAAUGCGUAGAUAUUGGAAGGAACACCAGUGGCGAAGGCGACUUACUGGACCAUUACUGACACUGAGGCGCGAAAGCGUGGGGAGCGAACAGGAUUAGAUACCCCAGUAGUCC
This 450-nucleotide ribosomal RNA is filed under the name uncultured bacterium. RNAcentral describes it as "bacterial SSU rRNA". It matches the Rfam family "Bacterial small subunit ribosomal RNA", at positions 354 to 796 of the family's 1533-position model. The record is from RNAcentral.